GCUGGGGAUAUAGCUCAGUUGGUAGAGUGCUUGCCUUGCAUGCACUAGGCCCUGGGUUCAAUCCCCAGCACCAGUU
RNAcentral lists this transfer RNA (76 nucleotides) under Marmota monax (woodchuck). RNAcentral describes it as "tRNA.Ala". It matches the Rfam family "tRNA". Rfam says of the family: Transfer RNA (tRNA) molecules are approximately 80 nucleotides in length. Their secondary structure includes four short double-helical elements and three loops (D, anti-codon, and T loops). The record is from RNAcentral. Lineage: Eukaryota; Metazoa; Chordata; Mammalia; Rodentia; Sciuridae.